Diabrotica virgifera virgifera (western corn rootworm) is the source of this 654-nucleotide long non-coding RNA. RefSeq lists it as uncharacterized. Lineage: Eukaryota; Metazoa; Arthropoda; Insecta; Coleoptera; Chrysomelidae. The transcript is spliced from 2 exons. The record is from RefSeq and is a predicted model, not a curated record.
UGCCUUUAUCUAUUAUUUUUUACGUCGUUGCUUUUGGGGAAUCACCGAAAUUUAGCAGGACGCUCGUAUUCGUUGGCGCUGAGAAAACCGGGGAAUUACCGAUUAGCUUUUGCAGGUGUUCUGUUGUUAUUUUGUGAUUUACUUGCCUUGUGCCGGAAAUAUUUGUGUUUAGUGCUUAUUUAAGUGUGUUUAAAUAAAUUAAUUAUUGUUAAUUAUAUUUUCUGUGUUUUAUGAUAAUAAAUUAUUUGCUACCUACUGUAGUGACAUUAGUGACAAAAACUGAAUGUUUAUAAUGUCUUCGAAUUCGAGUUCUUGUUCUUCGCGGGAAUCACGGGGAAGGAAAAGUUGCAAAGUAAGUUCCCUGUUUAAAAUGCUAAAAACACAGAAAAAAAACUCCUCAAGUAUAGUGUACUUUUUGUACACUUCAACUAUCAAAAAAUGGGACACGUUUGUUGGAACAUAUUAAAAAAUGCCUAAAAUGUCCAGAGGAAGUUAAAAUAAAGUAUGGAGUGACGGAGAGAAAACAACGAAACAUUGGACUAUUACAAACAAUACAUGAAAAAAGGGAGGAAAAAGUUAAAGAAAAACCGAAAUCACAAUCUAAAGAGGUGUCCGCAUUCAUGGAUAAAAUGACACCUGAACAAAAAGUAAAAG